Molecule: ribosomal RNA, 486 nt
Filed under: uncultured Pseudomonadota bacterium
Lineage: Bacteria; Pseudomonadati; Pseudomonadota
Description: bacterial SSU rRNA
Rfam family: Bacterial small subunit ribosomal RNA
Source: RNAcentral
AGAGUUUGAUCAUGGCUCAGAACGAACGCUGGCGGCAUGCCUAACACAUGCAAGUCGAACGCUCUUGGGGCUUCGGUCUCAAGGGAGUGGCGCACGGGUGAGUAGCGCGUGGGAACCUGCCCUCUUGUGGGGGAUAACCGAGGGAAACUUCGGCUAAUACCGCAUGCGCCCCGGGGAAACCCGGGGGAAAGAUUUAUCGCAGGAGGAGGGGCCCGCGUCGGAUUAGCUGGUUGGUGGGGUAACGGCUCACCAAGGCGAUGAUCCGUAGCUGGUCUGAGAGGAUGAUCAGCCACACUGGGACUGAGACACGGCCCAGACUCCUACGGGAGGCAGCAGUGGGGAAUAUUGGAUAAUGGGGGCAACCCUGAUCCAGCAAUGCCGCGUGAGUGAUGAAGGCCUUCGGGUUGUAAAGCUCUUUCGCCCGCGACGAUGAUGACGGUAGCGGGAGAAGAAGCCCCGGCUAACUUCGUGCCAGCAGCCGCGGUA